GACGAACGCUGGCGGCGUGCUUAACACAUGCAAGUCGAACGGAAAGGCCCUGCUUUUGUGGGGUGCUCGAGUGGCGAACGGGUGAGUAACACGUGAGUAACCUGCCCUUGACUUUGGGUUAACUUCAGGAAACUGGGGCUAAUACCGGAUAGGAGCUCCUGCUGCAUGGUGGGGGUUGGAAAGUUUCGGCGGUUGGGGAUGGACUCGCGGCUUAUCAGCUUGUUGGUGGGGUAGUGGCUUACCAAGGCUUUGACGGGUAGCCGGCCUGAGAGGGUGACCGGCCACAGUGGGACUGAGAUACGGCCCAGACUCCUACGGGAGGCAGCAGUGGGGAAUAUUGCACAAUGGGCGGGAGCCUGAUGCAGCAACGCCGCGUGCGGGAUGACGGCCUUCGGGUUGUAAACCGCUUUCGCCUGUGACGAAGCGUGAGUGACGGUAAUGGGUAAAGAAGCACCGGCUAACUACGUG
This 468-nucleotide ribosomal RNA is filed under the name uncultured bacterium. Its description in RNAcentral is "partial 16S ribosomal RNA". It matches the Rfam family "Bacterial small subunit ribosomal RNA", at positions 28 to 507 of the family's 1533-position model. The record is from RNAcentral.